GGGGUUGUGGCUCAGCGGUAGAGCACUUGCCUAGCACAUGCAAGGGGGCUGGGUUUGAUCCUCAGCACCA
RNAcentral lists this transfer RNA (70 nucleotides) under Ictidomys tridecemlineatus (thirteen-lined ground squirrel). Its description in RNAcentral is "Spermophilus tridecemlineatus (thirteen-lined ground squirrel) tRNA". It matches the Rfam family "tRNA". From Rfam's summary of the family: Transfer RNA (tRNA) molecules are approximately 80 nucleotides in length. Lineage: Eukaryota; Metazoa; Chordata; Mammalia; Rodentia; Sciuridae. The record is from Rfam by way of RNAcentral.